This 253-nucleotide ribosomal RNA is filed under the name uncultured bacterium. RNAcentral's name for it is "partial 16S ribosomal RNA". It matches the Rfam family "Bacterial small subunit ribosomal RNA", at positions 524 to 776 of the family's 1533-position model. The record is from RNAcentral.
GACGAACCGUGCGGACGUUAUUCGGAAUCACUGGGCUUAAAGGGUGCGUAGGCGGGUCUUUAAGUCAGGGGUGAAAUCCUGGAGCUCAACUCCAGAACUGCCUUUGAUACUGAAGAUCUUGAGUUCGGGAGAGGGAGCUGGAAUUCCCGGUGUAGCGGUGAAAUGCGUAGAUAUUGGGAGGAACACCGGUGGCGAAGGCGGCUAUCUGGACCGGUACUGACGCUGAUACGCGAAAGCCAGGGGAGCAAACGGG